CUGUGGGAAAAAGGCAUCUGGAGCCCACGAGGACGUAACCUUACAAAGGGCAGGGGAGGGCGGAUGCAGCCUCUCUAUCUCGGCUGUGGUGGGGAGGGUUCCUGGCACCGUGAUUUGAUGCACAAAGAGAAACAAAAAUCACAUUGCCAGGGAUUUCCACUCCUUCACAGCUCAGCUGGUGACCCACCGCACUGUUUCCAUCGCGGGUUGCUUUUGUGUAGCCGUCCUAGCUGCUCUGAUUGGAUUCAGUUGAUUUCUGAUGCUGGAUGUUGCUAUGGAGUCAAAUAUGGGUGAAGUUAGAUACGGCGAUCAACUCUCAGCAGACUUCUCACAAGGAGAGCUGUGACAUAGCACAGAAAGUGUCGAAACGCUCACGAGGCUGCCGUUAAACGUGCAGCUGUCUGAAAUUCAAACUCUUCACACGUCUCGUCUUUCAAGUAUGACAGGAAGUUGAUGUAAAUGCACGUGAGGGCCGUGCAGCUUUACGUGAUAGAACUAACUUUUGGAGUCAGCUCACGUUUCAGCUCUCGGAUUUUAGAUUUAAACACACAGGGAAGCGGCCCUGAUCCUACACCGGCAGCACGCUCCGAAACACGAAAGCGAACCUCAACAUCCGAAGCACCGCAGGCGCUAAAGCCACCAACUUUACCGGUGAGCAGUCACGUAAAGGUCUGCGUGAGGCUCUGGUCCCUCGAAAGCCUGCCACCCACUUGCUAAAGGCACAGAGCUUAGCUAAUUGGUGAGCAUUGAUCCCUGCUAUGUGUUGUUCACAGUGGCUAAGUUCAGUGCCUGAGGUGAAAUAGUGGAUUCGACGUUGGGGGAUUUGUUCCGCUGAAUGGAAAGAACCUGAUGAUCUCGGAUAUGAGGAAAGAAGGAGGGAGGAGAAGGGGGGAGAGAUUAGGUGGGAAAGGGAGAAGCUCGGCUCACGGCUCUAAUGUGGGCUCACCUGCUUCUGUGGACCAAAGGCAGCGUGCUUGUGCAAUAUGGUCCAGAGGUGAGACAAGCUGUACUGUUUCUUCAUUUGCCUGCAGCAACAACUGUCUUCUUACCUCUAACAUCUGGCAAGAAUCAUGGUGCAUGCCAAAUAUAUUUGAAAUUGUUUGAGCGAGGCCAUGUGACCCAGGUUUAAUGUGUUCUUGCAAAUGCCUCAGAUUGCAUCUGGAUUAGGAAUGUGGUGCUAAAUGUCAACUGUACCUGGGCGUGCCACUUCACGUCCGACUGAGGUAGCUUAGGACGUCAGUGCCAGUGUUUAGCACUAACCUUCCCACACUUUAUCACCCGUAGCUGAAAGUCUCCCAGCUUUUCCUACGAUAAACUAGCUGAUUGAUUUCAUGUUGGUCUGAGCUGUCGCUUAAUUUUUCUUGGGUGGAUUUUUAGCAAAUUAACACCAGUGCAAACUAAGAAGUAAAACCCUUUUUUCCUGAAAUAAAAGUGUCUUAAGUGAUCACAAAUUCUCCCACUGCUCUCUGUGAGCUGCGUGACUGCAGUAAAUUUGCCUAAUGCUGCGUAAUUCACCCCGAACUUGGUGCUGCUGUUCUAACGCUGCGUGCUGCAAUGAUGUGAGCAAAAAUAAGCUGCAGCACUCACAGUUGUUUCUGGGCUAUGCCCUCCUGUGCCUACUGAACUGGUAUCAGUGUUAUACCUGAAAACUGGCUCAGUUCAGCAGGAACAGGAGUGGAGCCUACAGACACGCGACAGCUUCGAGCGACAGCAGCGAGACCGAGAUUCAGCUGUUGUUGGUUGCUGUGUCAAACUGACGUGAUGCUCGCCUCGAGUCAAAGGCGGUGAUGAAAUCCAAACCAGAGUCCCCGAACCUGUCAGACUGAAGCUUGACGUCUCCGUGGAAGUGCGUCCCGACUUAGACGACUGUGCUUUCCUUCGUCGACGUGUAAAUGUUUCAUGAGCCGAUGGGUUGGUGUUUGUGAAUACUCGUGCAUGCUAAUGAACCCAAUCCUGUUGUUCUGUUCAACCUUCAUCUUUCUCCUGCAUUCUCCUCCUGAGACGCCUGCAGACACGCCCCUCGAGCUUCACCUGUGUCGUCUCUCUGUCUGUGCCGUCAAAGGCCAGGCUGAGACUAGGGCUCAUUGUGAGCUAAUCCCAGUGAAAUGUCUGCUAUGUCUGUGCAAUGGAUUUCAACCAGCAGCCCCACAUUGUGAGCGAAUGGGAGUGUGUGGAGCCACAAAAGGAAAAGUGCUUGAAAAUUUCAUAUCCAGAGGAAAGUGGAAGCUCAUCAGUAAGCGUGAUGAAUUUGCUCUUAUCUGGCACCUCCACUGAUCCUGGCUGCCGCCAUAAAAUUAUGUUUCCAUUACUUGAAAUUUCUGCAGAUAAAUGUUCCAUUCAGACCUGGAGGAGAUUACCCAGUGAAAAGGUUAGAGAGGGGUUUCUCUCUAUCGGUGAUGCCGACUUCAGGGCAUUGUUUCAGCCAGGUGGUACCACUGACAAGUUGGCUAUGAUUUGUGUGUUUCGUUCCAGCACAAACCCAGCACUGACUGAAUGCAAUAAAGUUUAAAUGAGCCUGA
This is a long non-coding RNA of Pundamilia nyererei, 2519 nucleotides long. RefSeq lists it as uncharacterized. The record is from RefSeq and is a predicted model, not a curated record. The transcript is spliced from 2 exons. Lineage: Eukaryota; Metazoa; Chordata; Actinopteri; Cichliformes; Cichlidae.